This 354-nucleotide ribosomal RNA is filed under the name uncultured archaeon. RNAcentral describes it as "bacterial SSU rRNA". It matches the Rfam family "Archaeal small subunit ribosomal RNA", at positions 6 to 364 of the family's 1478-position model. The record is from RNAcentral.
GGUUGAUCCUGCCGGACCUGACUGCUAUCGGAUUGAUACUAAGCCAUGCGAGUCAUUGUAGCAAUACAAGGCAGACGGCUCAGUAACGCGUAGUCAACCUACCCUAUGGACGGGAAUAACCUCGGGAAACUGAGUAUAAUGCCCGAUAGAACACUAUACCUGGAAUGGUUUGUGUUUCAAAUAAUUUAUUGCCGUAGGAUGGGACUGCGGCCUAUCAGUUUGUUGGUGAGGUAAUGGCCCACCAAGACUAUUACAGGUACGGGCUCUGAGAGGAGUGGCCCGGAGAUGGGUACUGAGACACGGACCCAGGCCCUAUGGGGCGCAGCAGGCGAGAAAACUUUGCAAUGUGCGAAA